RNAcentral lists this ribosomal RNA (347 nucleotides) under uncultured Psychrobacter sp. FR041. RNAcentral describes it as "bacterial SSU rRNA". It matches the Rfam family "Bacterial small subunit ribosomal RNA", at positions 1 to 354 of the family's 1533-position model. The record is from RNAcentral. Lineage: Bacteria; Pseudomonadati; Pseudomonadota; Gammaproteobacteria; Moraxellales; Moraxellaceae.
UAGAGUUUGAUCAUGGCUCAGAUUGAACGCUGGCGGCAGGCUUAACACAUGCAAGUCGAGCGGUAACAUUUCUAGCUUGCUAGAAGAUGACGAGCGGCGGACGGGUGAGUAAUACUUAGGAAUCUACCUAGUAGUGGGGGAUAGCUCGGGGAAACUCGAAUUAAUACCGCAUACGACCUACGGGAGAAAGGGGGCAACUUGUUGCUCUCGCUAUUAGAUGAGCCUAAGUCGGAUUAGCUAGAUGGUGGGGUAAAGGCCUACCAUGGCGACGAUCUGUAGCUGGUCUGAGAGGAUGAUCAGCCACACCGGGACUGAGACACGGCCCGGACUCCUNCUGGACGCAGCAG